Molecule: transfer RNA, 71 nt
Filed under: Podospora anserina S mat+
Lineage: Eukaryota; Fungi; Ascomycota; Sordariomycetes; Sordariales; Podosporaceae
Rfam family: tRNA
About the family: Transfer RNA (tRNA) molecules are approximately 80 nucleotides in length.
Source: Rfam by way of RNAcentral
AACCUUAUAGUAUAGUACGUAGUACGUCGACUAUUAUGUUAAAGGUAUAAGUUCGAUUUUUAUUAAGGUUU